UACGUAGGUGGCAAGCGUUGUCCGGAUUUACUGGGCGUAAAGGGCGUGCAGGCGGUUUGUUAAGGCUAGGGUGAAAGCUCCCGGCUCAACUGGGAGAGGUCCUUGGAUACUGGCGAACUUGAGGGAUGCAGAGGAAAGUGGAAUUCCCGGUGUAGUGGUGAUAUGCGUAGAUAUCGGGAGGAACACCAGUGGCGAAGGCGGCUUUCUGGGCAUUUCCUGACGCUGAGACGCGAAAGCGUGGGGAGCGAACCGG
Molecule: ribosomal RNA, 253 nt
Filed under: uncultured bacterium
Lineage: Bacteria
Description: partial 16S ribosomal RNA
Rfam family: Bacterial small subunit ribosomal RNA
Source: RNAcentral